This 31-nucleotide non-coding RNA is filed under the name Rattus norvegicus (Norway rat). The record is from RNAcentral. Lineage: Eukaryota; Metazoa; Chordata; Mammalia; Rodentia; Muridae.
UGGCAGAUUCAUUUCUGACCUGUGUUCCAGU